AUGCUGUUUGCCAGCUGCAUUGUGUGGGCGAACUGCUUUUCGCCCACACAGCCACCAACUAGGUCAUGCGCGUGUGGGCGAACUGCUUUUCGCCCACACGACACUACUACCUUGUGGAUGGCAACUGCAGUUACGCGAACGUGCAACUUGGUACACACACAUGGCAAUUGUGAUUCUUUGCUACAUGGCAACUACAGUUACGCGAACGUGGCAACUCGGUACACACACAUGGCAACUGUGAUUCUUUGCUACACGGCAACUGCAGUUGCGCGUACGUGGCAACCAGAUAAACACACAUUGCAACUGUGA
Molecule: ribosomal RNA, 309 nt
Filed under: Triticum aestivum (bread wheat)
Lineage: Eukaryota; Viridiplantae; Streptophyta; Magnoliopsida; Poales; Poaceae
Description: partial small subunit ribosomal RNA
Source: RNAcentral